CCAAGGCUAAAUACUCCUGACUGACCGAUAGUGAACCAGUACCGUGAGGGAAAGGCGAAAAGAACCCCGGCGAGGGGAGUGAAAAAGAACCUGAAACCGUGUACGUACAAGCAGUGGGAGCACGCUCAGGCGUGUGACUGCGUACCUUUUGUAUAAUGGGUCAGCGACUUAUAUUCUGUAGCAAGGUUAACCGAAUAGGGGAGCCGAAGGGAAACCGAGUCUUAACUGGGCGUUAAGUUGCAGGGUAUAGACCCGAAACCCGGUGAUCUAGCCAUGGGCAGGUUGAAGGUUGGGUAACACUAACUGGAGGACCGAACCGACUAAUGUUGAAAAAUUAGCGGAUGACUUGUGGCUGGGGGUGAAAGGCCAAUCAAACCGGGAGAUAGCUGGUUCUCCCCGAAAGCUAUUUAGGUAGCGCCUCGUGAAUUCAUCUCCGGGGGUAGAGCACUGUUUCGGCAAGGGGGUCAUCCCGACUUACCAACCCGAUGCAAACUGCGAAUACCGGAGAAUGUUAUCACGGGAGACACACGGCGGGUGCUAACGUCCGUCGUGAAGAGGGAAACAACCCAGACCGCCAGCUAAGGUCCCAAAGUCAUGGUUAAGUGGGAAACGAUGUGGGAAGGCCCAGACAGCCAGGAUGUUGGCUUAGAAGCAGCCAUCAUUUAAAGAAAGCGUAAUAGCUCACUGGUCGAGUCGGCCUGCGCGGAAGAUGUAACGGGGCUAAACCAUGCACCGAAGCUGCGGCAGCGACGCUUAUGCGUUGUUGGGUA
RNAcentral lists this ribosomal RNA (770 nucleotides) under Escherichia coli. Its description in RNAcentral is "partial 23S ribosomal RNA". It matches the Rfam family "Bacterial large subunit ribosomal RNA", at positions 460 to 1230 of the family's 2925-position model. Lineage: Bacteria; Pseudomonadati; Pseudomonadota; Gammaproteobacteria; Enterobacterales; Enterobacteriaceae. The record is from RNAcentral.